This is a non-coding RNA of Mycena metata, 90 nucleotides long. The record is from the annotation of a GenBank genome assembly. Lineage: Eukaryota; Fungi; Basidiomycota; Agaricomycetes; Agaricales; Mycenaceae.
CACUUGAUAGCACAUGGUGUGCACCUGCUUGAACUAAAUGAGUAAUCUGGGCUUAUGCAGGAGGUCUCGGUUCCAUUCCGGGUCGGGUGA